This 18-nucleotide non-coding RNA is filed under the name Arabidopsis thaliana (thale cress). Lineage: Eukaryota; Viridiplantae; Streptophyta; Magnoliopsida; Brassicales; Brassicaceae. The record is from RNAcentral.
CUUAUUUACAAUGGCUGC